Molecule: long non-coding RNA, 2129 nt
Organism: Strigops habroptila (Kakapo)
Lineage: Eukaryota; Metazoa; Chordata; Aves; Psittaciformes; Psittacidae
Exons: 5
Source: RefSeq, a predicted model, not a curated record
CCCUGACCCAGAAGCAUCUUUUAAUGCGGUCCUCCCUGUUUUCCAUCUGUGUUGCAUGUUAUUCAUUGGGGUCCUCGUUUCCCUCUGAGAGAAGAAGGUGUCAGUGUUGAACCCGGCGCGUAUCCCCGUGUGGUACGUAAUGCUGCUCCCAGACAGACAGCCCUACAUCCUCAAUGGAGAUGACGCUAGUGCUUGAAGGCGAUGUUUUUCCCGCGGACUGCGUGGCUGGUGAGAUGGUAACGCCGAGGCGGGGAGCAGCUUCACAGCUCACUGCCCUCACCCGAGCAACCGCCUGAGAGCGACGUGCCAAAGCCCGGCGGUAGCCCGGUGCCUGCUGCAUCGCUGCAAACGGUGGGAGCAGCGCGCCCACCCGCUGCGGGGGCUCCUCGGGGACCCACCGCCUGCCAGCUUCCCUCUGCCAUCCUCUGCGGCGGCCUGUCCCCACGUACACGUGUCUGGGAAAGUGCCAAGAUCACAAUCAAAAGGGAGUCACCAAUAAGGAUUUGGUGUACAGCUAAGCAAACUACCUGUGGAGAAAGCUCUGAACAAAACAGGGAAUUGUGUACCAUGUAACCAGACUGCUAUAAACCUUCAGCUGCAGACCACUGACAGGAGUCUAUGGACCACCACUUGGGUGAACCUCUGCUUUAAACCGUUAAAUGAUUCAACAUUUGUUCCCUCUGAUGACACCACGAAUCUGAGAAUGAAGAACUUCUUAGAGCUGAUUGGAAAUGGCAUUGCGGAGCUGAGACUUAACUGGAGGAAAUAUAUCUCCUGAAGAAGAAAAUAUAAUGCACUGUAAGGAUCUGACUUCUGGUGAAAAAUUCAAGCCUAGAGAAAACUUGUCUGCUUUGUUAGGAAGAAUGGGUUGGACAAUUUUCUUCAAUUCCAGAGGAUAUCUGAAUGCCAUGCUGAGCUUAAUCUCUGCAGCAUGCUAUGUGCUUCUCAUGUCUUCCUGAUGCACUGCAUGGUUAUCCUGAAGGGGAGGAUAAAGAAACUGGCCACCAAGAUGGUAAUCACUAGUGGAAAUGAAGAAGAUAAAGGCAGUCAAGAAAAGGAAAGCAAAGAAGAAACCAUCUUGGCAAUGCUUGGAAUUAUUGGGACAAUUCUGAACCUCAUUGUGAUCAUUUUUGUGUAUAUUUACACAACGCUGUAAACUAGAAGGCAUGCAAAUAGACCAGAUAAAACGGCCAUUAAGACUGACAACAAACAUUGCUGACUAUUGACAAGUUGUUUAAUCAGAAUUGACUCUGUAUUAUAUUAACACAUCGUAUAAGCGCUGCCUGCAGGCAGCGAAGGCUGAAGCACAAUUAAUUUAACAAGACUUUUCCACACAGUAACAAGCUCAACUCUUCUGUCUUGCCCUCUUCCUUUUGGUUUGGUUUUCAGUUUGGAGGAAAAUGACUGCAAUUAUGUAAGUUGUAGCUUUGAGGAAAUCCACCAGGGAUAUGUUGUUUUAACACGAUAAAAAAAAAAAACAAUAAAGAGAGAAACUAUACACUAUAUACAAUUAGAAAUGUAUACCGUAUACCCACAGAGAUUGAACUCAAAGGUAGCUUCAUAGCACAGAUCACGUGUCUGUUAUGUCAAAUGACUUUUUUCUCUUGGUUUUUGCUUUUACUUACAUUGACUCUGAAAGCUUUUUAUUUAGAAUGAACAUAUGGUGCAAUCAUGAAAAAACCAAUUCCAUUGAGCAAGGUCUGCCUAAACCUGAUAAAAUGUUGGGAGAAAUACAUUGUAUGGUUAUUUUUCCUUUCUUAUUUGCCUAACAUCUGUGUCUGUUCAUAUCAAUGUUUAUAAAUAUCUAUUUUUAAUAAAUGUGCUAUAUUUUUAGCAUGAACCAAAUAUUUGGAGACACUUGUAUUCAUGCAGCUAAGUUUUGGUUGAAGUGCCCUUUUUGACAAUGGAUGUUAUUUUUCUCAGCAAUUAUACAGCAGUCUUGUUUGCAGCCCUCUCACUGUGGUUUGAAGCAAGCUCACAUCAUGCUCAUAUGCAUGACUUGAAGUUGGAAUGUCAGCUGAAAAGCAUUGCUGCUUAAUACGGGAAAUAGCAAAACAUUGUAAGGUGACCUUUGGUGACUGGUUGCAGAAAGAAGGCUUUAUUUAUAGUCAAAAAAAAAAAAAAAAAGG